AAUGGAUAUAUUUCUUCUAAUGUCGUUGGCUUUACCUUUAUGUUUGUUUUCCUCAAACCUCAUGAUCUGAAAUCUGAAUACAUGUUCUGUCUUAGUUCUUUGUUUUGAUAUAAUUUGUUGUCAUUUUGUUCUAGUCCUUUGUUCUACUCUCUGCCGCUGAUCUCAAGUCAUUUUGCAUAAGUGUCUUCCCUAUUAUUAUUUUUUGUUGUCUAAUUACGUACUUAUCUAUUUGACAGUCUUGCAGCUAUAGCUAGGAAGA
RNAcentral lists this unclassified non-coding RNA (259 nucleotides) under Hevea brasiliensis (rubber tree). The record is from RNAcentral. Lineage: Eukaryota; Viridiplantae; Streptophyta; Magnoliopsida; Malpighiales; Euphorbiaceae.